GCCUGGGUGGCUUAAUCGGUUAAGCAUCCGACUUCGGCUCAGGUCGUGAUCUUGUGGUUAGUGGGUUUGAGCCCCACGUCAGGCU
This 85-nucleotide transfer RNA is filed under the name Felis catus (domestic cat). It matches the Rfam family "tRNA". Rfam says of the family: Transfer RNA (tRNA) molecules are approximately 80 nucleotides in length. Their secondary structure includes four short double-helical elements and three loops (D, anti-codon, and T loops). The record is from Rfam by way of RNAcentral. Lineage: Eukaryota; Metazoa; Chordata; Mammalia; Carnivora; Felidae.